RNAcentral lists this ribosomal RNA (468 nucleotides) under uncultured bacterium. RNAcentral's name for it is "partial 16S ribosomal RNA". It matches the Rfam family "Bacterial small subunit ribosomal RNA", at positions 28 to 507 of the family's 1533-position model. The record is from RNAcentral.
GACGAACGCUGGCGGCGUGCUUAACACAUGCAAGUCGAACGGAAAGGCCCUGCUUUUGUGGGGUGCUCGAGUGGCGAACGGGUGAGUAACACGUGAGUAACCUGCCCUUGACUUUGGGAUAACUUCAGGAAACUGGGGCUAAUACCGGAUAGGAGCUCCUGCUGCAUGGUGGGGGUUGGAAAGUUUCGGCGGUUGGGGAUGGACUCGCGGCUUAUCAGCUUGUUGGUGGGGUAGUGGCUUACCAAGGCUUUGACGGGUAGCCGGCCUGAGAGGGUGACCGGCCACAUUAAGACUGAGAUACGGCCCAGACUCCUACGGGAGGCAGCAGUGGGGAAUAUUGCACAAUGGGCGGAAGCCUGAUGCAGCAACGCCGCGUGCGGGAUGACGGCCUUCGGGUUGUAAACCGCUUUCGCCUGUGACGAAGCGUGAGUGACGGUAAUGGGUAAAGAAGCACCGGCUAACUACGUG